This 73-nucleotide transfer RNA is filed under the name Candidatus Woesebacteria bacterium. Its description in RNAcentral is "tRNA-Pro". It matches the Rfam family "tRNA". From Rfam's summary of the family: Transfer RNA (tRNA) molecules are approximately 80 nucleotides in length. Their secondary structure includes four short double-helical elements and three loops (D, anti-codon, and T loops). The record is from RNAcentral. Lineage: Bacteria; Candidatus Woeseibacteriota.
CGGGGUGUAGCUCAGUUGGAAGAGUGCUCGCUUCGGGUGCGAGAGGUCGCCAGUUCGAGUCUGGCCACCCCGA